Molecule: ribosomal RNA, 374 nt
Filed under: uncultured organism
Description: bacterial SSU rRNA
Rfam family: Bacterial small subunit ribosomal RNA
Source: RNAcentral
CGGGGGGAGCAAGCGUUGUUCGGAUUUACUGGGCGUAAAGGGCGCGUAGGCGGCCACCGCAAGUCGACUGUGAAACCUCCGGGCUUAACCCGGAAAGGUCAGCCGAUACUGCGGGGCUAGAGUGCAGAAGGGGCAACUGGAAUUCUCGGUGUAGCGGUGAAAUGCGUAGAUAUCGAGAGGAACACCUGCGGCGAAGGCGGGUUGCUGGGCUGACACUGACGCUGAUGCGCGAAAGCUAGGGGAGCGAACGGGAUUAGAUACCCCGGUAGUCCUAGCCUUAAACGAUGAAUGCUUGGUGUCUGGGGUUUUAUAGUCCCCGGGUGCCGUCGCUAACGCUUUAAGCAUUCCGCCUGGGGAGUACGGUCGCAAGACUG